CCUAACCGGUGAUCUUGGAAAAAAUUCUUAAAGUAUCAAAAUGAUUUCUAGUUCAUGCUAAUAUACAAAAGAUUCUGUCAGCCAAUUGCUACACACACAGAACCAUCCCCUAUCUACUGGAGAGUUUCUACUUUUUCAUGGGUAGAGAACCAGUCUGGUGUAUACACUUCUUAAAUUUUACGUAAACUCAGUACUCCAGUUUGAGAACUGAAAUUUCAACUGCUGAUUAAAUUAUUUUAAAGCAUAACACUCAAGCAAAACUAGAAUAUUAAUAGCUACUUAUGCUUAAUUAUUAAACUUUAAAAUCUCCAAAUUAAAAAUACCCUCUGAUCUGAAGAUCUUUCUUUUGCCAGCUUGAGACUUAAAAAAAAAACCUAAACGCUGGUGUCAAUUUCUGAAGAUCAACUGAAAUUUGGAGAUGACAGCAGUUUUUAAGGAGUUCAUUAGACUUCUAAUUAUUGACUGACUUCCUUUCUAUGUC
RNAcentral lists this long non-coding RNA (481 nucleotides) under Bos taurus (domestic cattle). Its description in RNAcentral is "long non-coding RNA NONBTAT025877". Lineage: Eukaryota; Metazoa; Chordata; Mammalia; Artiodactyla; Bovidae. The record is from RNAcentral.